UAGGGAAUCUUCGGCAAUGGGGGGAACCCUGACCGAGCAACGCCGCGUGAGUGAAGAAGGUUUUCGGAUCGUAAAGCUCUGUUGUUAAGGAAGAACGAGUGUGAGAAUGGAAAGUUCAUGCUGUGACGGUACUUAACCAGAAAGGGACGGCUAACUACGUGCCAGCAGCCGCGGUAAUACGUAGGUCCCGAGCGUUGUCCGGAUUUAUUGGGCGUAAAGCGAUCGCAGGCGGUUAGAAAAGUCUGAAGUGAAAGGCAGUGGCUCAACCAUUGUAGGCUUUGGAAACUGUUUAACUUGAGUGCAGAAGGGGAGAGUGGAAUUCCAUGUGUAGCGGUGAAAUGCGUAGAUAUAUGGAGGAACACCGGUGGCGAAAGCGGCUCUCUGGUCUGUAACUGACGCUGAGGCUCGAAAGCGUGGGGAGCGAACAGG
This 429-nucleotide ribosomal RNA is filed under the name Bacteroidota bacterium. Its description in RNAcentral is "Bacteroidetes bacterium partial 16S ribosomal RNA". It matches the Rfam family "Bacterial small subunit ribosomal RNA", at positions 355 to 776 of the family's 1533-position model. The record is from RNAcentral. Lineage: Bacteria; Pseudomonadati; Bacteroidota.